Molecule: long non-coding RNA, 1478 nt
Organism: Mauremys mutica (yellowpond turtle)
Lineage: Eukaryota; Metazoa; Chordata; Testudines; Geoemydidae
Exons: 3
Source: RefSeq, a predicted model, not a curated record
UCUAGAAAGUAGUGGAGAUAGCCAGAUUGAUUGGGACACCUGAAGGCAAUGAAGGGCUGGCUGGAACUAGGUAAAAUCCUUCCAAUUAGUCAGUGAGGUGUGUGUAGCAGGAGCUGUGAGAGGAAGCUGUGCUGUUGGAGGAACUAAGCAGUACAAAUCCAUAUCAGGCUCAAGGAAGGAGGCCCUGAGCCAAUGCCAGGCCUGGAGGGGAGAAAAAAGGAGGAGCCUGGUGAAGAGGCAGGAGCUAGCGGCCUCCCUACUUGAAGGAAAGAUCACUAGCUCACUGUCUGAGGCAGCCACCAGGAACCAAGCACUGUCUUCCUGGUCAAAGGAGAUGGAGAAGGAGGCCUACGAACACCUGGCGUUGGUUUGGAAGCUGCUGGUCUGAUGUGCAAUGGGAUGCUUCUUAUUCCAGCCACAGAUAUCCUGAAGUGAGAUUCUUGAGGUCUCUGUGGAGUUAGAAUUGAUUGCCUCUACAUUAUCUACUGUUCAGACAGAGGAAAUUGCUCUACCGUGUUCUUUUUGGCACUAAAUUUAACCUGUUUUGCCUCAAAUAUGGUCCUUUAAUGCAUGCAGUUUUUAAGUAGUCCAGCUAACAAUGAAGGCUAAAAACAUAUAUCCAUAGCAAAUGUGAUUUUAAAAAAGUUCUUUAAUAGACUCCAAACCAUAAUUUUUAAUGGCCUAAAUUGACUCCCAACUAAACCAGUUCACAUACGUAAGACAAGAAAUUAUCUCGUCUCUAGUGCCAUGGUGCUAUACCCUGCCUUGUGAUACCCAAUCUCUCUUCCCCUUCUAAGGUUAUAGACCCUGCAUGUACCAAGUCCUUCCCCAUAGUUAAACUCUUCCAACACUAUUAAAAAUGGUUGUGCAAACAAUCUGGUUCCUAGCAGAAUAGUUCACCUAGUGCUCCUGCUCCUGCUAAGGGAACAAGCUGAUAGAAGGAAGGGAGUCAGAUAUGCAGUGUUACUGAUAACGCUGCCAGGCUGACUUUUACAAUAACAAUAUGCCCACUAAAGACCUCCUCAGUUACUCUGUCAGGCUAAAGCAGUAAACAGAGAUGUACAGUAACCGUUCUCCCUUCUUGAAGGGUUAUCAGGGUGGCACAGGUGUUGUUUCAGUUGACAGCAGGUACCUCUUAGGACUGCCAUGCCAUUUUUUCUUUACGGGGUUUUUCACUUCAAAGUCAUUUGAACACCAUCCAAAAAGUAAGCGGCUUUCAUUUUAAAAUUAGUACAUUCUGGCAAUUUCACCGAGCUGAGCACAUCUCUCAGUAAAGCAGACAUCUUUAAAGGGCCAUUCAGAAAGCAAUGACUUACAAAAUUAUCACAUUGCUGCCAGUGCUGUUGCCCUUGGUUAAUUCUAAUAGCUCUGCACACCCAUAUAGUUUCAUCACCCUACCAAAGUUAAAUGCUAAUGAUUUCUCCGUGGCUGCUGCUCUGUCAGGUCUUUGCCAUGGGUCUCCUGUACUUCACUCUGGC